This 381-nucleotide ribosomal RNA is filed under the name uncultured eukaryote. RNAcentral describes it as "partial 18S ribosomal RNA". It matches the Rfam family "Eukaryotic small subunit ribosomal RNA", at positions 592 to 976 of the family's 1831-position model. The record is from RNAcentral.
CAAUAGCGUAUAUUAAAGUUGUUGCGGUAAAAAAGCUCGUAGUUGGAUUUCUACCGAAGAUAGCCGGUCGGGUCUUCGACCUUGUAUCUGGUUUUGUCUUUGGUAUCCUCAUAGGGAACGUUUCUGCGCUUUAUUGCGUGGUGCGGUAUCUAUGACUUUUACUUUGAGGAAAUUAGAGUGUUCACGGCAUGCAAACGCCUUGAAUAUAUUAGCAUGGAAUAAUAACAUAGGAUCUUCGUCCUAUUUUGUUGGUUUCUAGGGCUAAGAUAAUGAUUAAUAGGGAUAAUUGGGGGCAUCUGUAUCAACGCGUCAGAGGUGGAAUUCUUGGAUUGCGUUGCGACAAACUACUGCGAAAGCAUUUGCCAAGGAUGUUUUCAUUGA